GCGGGUGUAGCUCAAUGGUAGAGCAGAAGCCUUCCAAGCUUAUGACGGGGGUUCGAUUCCCCUCACCCGCUCCA
Molecule: transfer RNA, 74 nt
Filed under: Azospirillum sp.
Lineage: Bacteria; Pseudomonadati; Pseudomonadota; Alphaproteobacteria; Rhodospirillales; Azospirillaceae
Also listed under: 16 other names
Description: tRNA-Gly
Rfam family: tRNA
About the family: Transfer RNA (tRNA) molecules are approximately 80 nucleotides in length. Their secondary structure includes four short double-helical elements and three loops (D, anti-codon, and T loops). Further hydrogen bonds mediate the characteristic L-shaped molecular structure. tRNAs have two regions of fundamental functional importance: the anti-codon, which is responsible for specific mRNA codon recognition, and the 3' end, to which the tRNAs corresponding amino acid is attached (by aminoacyl-tRNA synthetases). tRNAs cope with the degeneracy of the genetic code in two manners: having more than one tRNA (with a specific anti-codon) for a particular amino acid; and 'wobble' base-pairing, i.e. permitting non-standard base-pairing at the 3rd anti-codon position.
Source: RNAcentral